Andrographis paniculata is the source of this 704-nucleotide long non-coding RNA. RefSeq lists it as uncharacterized. The transcript is spliced from 3 exons. The record is from RefSeq and is a predicted model, not a curated record. NCBI's taxonomy places the organism in Eukaryota, Viridiplantae, Streptophyta, Magnoliopsida, Lamiales, Acanthaceae.
CCCGACAUCUCUGUUUCUUCUUCCUUCUUUCUUCUUCGUCUUCUUCGAUCUUCUUCGUCUUCGUCGUUCUUCUUCUUUAUCUUCUCCUUCUUCGUUCUUUUCUCUUCUUUCUUUUUUCUUUUUCUUCUUCUCCUUCUCGUAUGUAUUCCUUCACCUUCCACAUUUUCCUCCGUUCUGCACCCCUGGACCGCGCGCCGCCUCCACCUUCCUCGGCCGUUGACCGUGCUCCGCUGCUCCUUUCUUGACCCGUAACCAUCACUGCCCGCCGACGUCCUCAAAUUCCAAACCUAGUUUUUCCCGAAUCAACCAACAAGAUAGACAUAAAAGAUUAUAAAGUUAGCUUUACUAGUUUUGAUAUCGAUCGCCUAGGUUUUACAAAGUUGUCUUGUUUCAUGCAGAUCAUUAUGAAAGUUGUGGAGUGCUAUGCACCAGGAGCUAUUGUCCUCCAAUGUGGAGCAGAUUCACCCUCUGGGGACUGAUUAAGAUACUAUAACCUUUCCAUUGAUGGUGUUAUGCUUGUAAUUUAUAUAGUGUUUUUUGUCUUCACGUAAUAUUAUGGAUUAAUUGAUGAUUGAAUGAACUUGUCACCAGUAACAUUUCAAAGUAUCGUAAUUUAUGUUGAAUUGGAUAUAUUCUUGCAAGGCAUGCUGCAUAUGUCAAUUUUGUCAAGCAAUUCAAUUUGUCUUUGUUGGUUUUUUUUUUUU